GUGGGGAAUAUUGCACAAUGGGGGAAACCCUGAUGCAGCAACGCCGCGUGAGUGAUGAAGGCCUUCGGGUUGUAAAGCUCUGUCUUCAGGGACGAUAAUGACGGUACCUGAGGAGGAAGCCACGGCUAACUACGUGCCAGCAGCCGCGGUAAUACGUAGGUGGCAAGCGUUGUCCGGAUUUACUGGGCGUAAAGGGAGCGUAGGCGGAUACUUAAGUGGGAUGUGAAAUACCUGGGCUUAACUUGGGUGCUGCAUUCCAAACUGGGUGUCUAGAGUGUUGGAGAGGAAAGUGGAAUUCCUAGUGUAGCGGUGAAAUGCGUAGAGAUUAGGAAGAACACCAGUGGCGAAGGCGACUUUCUGGACAAUAACUGACGCUGAGGCUCGAAAGCGUGGGGAGCAAACAGGAUUAGAAACCCUUGUAGUCC
This 425-nucleotide ribosomal RNA is filed under the name uncultured bacterium. RNAcentral's name for it is "bacterial SSU rRNA". It matches the Rfam family "Bacterial small subunit ribosomal RNA", at positions 354 to 796 of the family's 1533-position model. The record is from RNAcentral.